This 574-nucleotide long non-coding RNA is filed under the name Cottoperca gobio. RNAcentral's name for it is "lncRNA (ENSCGOG00000011944.1)". The record is from RNAcentral. Lineage: Eukaryota; Metazoa; Chordata; Actinopteri; Perciformes; Bovichtidae.
CCCAAUUCAGCCUCAGCUUUCCCCACACAAACCCUAAAUUGUCACUAAAUUGGUAAACACUAGACAGAUGUUUUCAACAAACACUGUCUCUUUUUUUGCACACAUUUUAUACACCAUUAUCACGAACUAGCUGUACAAACAGAAAAGUAGGUUGCAUUCCUCUCCGUCCCAACACAACCACGUGUCUGUCCCGCCCCCUCCUAUUCACAUAAAACCCUAAUUUUAUACUUACUACUACAGCUGGAAACUCAGUCAAAACCAACACGGCUUGGUCGACACCCACCCGCCCAGUUCUUGUUGGAGUGGAAACUGCACCACAGUGUGGCCAUGGAGGGGUCCGGACUCAGGGAGAGGGGCAACCUGAUUCCACACUGAUGAAAAAACUUGGCCGUCGGGGAAAACACAACCCCCACCCCUUUGCCAAAGCCACAAGCGAGUCACAGACAUGGAGCAGCAGCAGCAGCAGCAGAUGAUGAUGUUGUGGACGGCCUUCCUGUCUAAGUAAACAGUGAUUCAGACGAGUGAGGAGUGGGAGGCUGUGGUCUGCUUCAGACUGGCAGCACCAGGCCUCACC